Molecule: ribosomal RNA, 198 nt
Filed under: uncultured bacterium
Lineage: Bacteria
Description: partial 16S ribosomal RNA
Rfam family: Bacterial small subunit ribosomal RNA
Source: RNAcentral
ACGCUCGACACCUACGGAGGCAGCAGUGGGGAAUAUUGCACAAUGGGGGAAACCCUGAUGCAGCGACGCCGCGUGAGUGAAGAAGUAUUUCGGUAUGUAAAGCUCUAUCAGCAGGGAAGAAAAUGACGGUACCUGAGUAAGAAGCCCCGGCUAACUACGUGCCAGCAGCCGCGGUAAUCUGAGGCGGGCUGGCAAGGC